UACGAGGGGGGCAAGCGUUGUUCGGAAUUACUGGGCGUAAAGCGCGCGCAGGCGGGUCAUCAAGUCAGGGGUGAAAGCCCAGAGCUCAACUCUGGAAUGCCCUUGAAACUGGUGACCUUGAGUACGGGAGAGGUGAGUGGAAUUCCCAAUGUAGAGGUGAAAUUCGUAGAUAUUGGGAAGAACACCGGUGGCGAAGGCGGCGACCUGGUCCAUUACUGACGCUGAGGCGCGAAAGCGUGGGGAGCAAACAGG
Molecule: ribosomal RNA, 252 nt
Filed under: uncultured bacterium
Lineage: Bacteria
Description: partial 16S ribosomal RNA
Rfam family: Bacterial small subunit ribosomal RNA
Source: RNAcentral